RNAcentral lists this long non-coding RNA (643 nucleotides) under Homo sapiens (human). RNAcentral's name for it is "HSALNT0086501". Lineage: Eukaryota; Metazoa; Chordata; Mammalia; Primates; Hominidae. The record is from RNAcentral.
AAGCAAUCCUCUGGCUUCACCUUCCCAAGUGUCUAGGACUACAGGCUUUGGCCGUGGAGUGGGAGCUACACUAUCAGAUCUCCUGGUUCUCAGGCCUUCAGAAUAAGACUGAAUUACACCACUGGCUUUCCUGGGGCUCCAGCUUGCAGACGGCACAUAAUAGGACUUCUUGCCUCCAUAAUCGUAAGCUCCACAAGGGCUGGGAUCCUGUGUGUCUCAUUCCCCACUGUGUCAUCAAGUGCCCAGCACAAAACAGAGCUCAGCAAAUGCUUGUCGAAUAAAUGAAUGAAAACGUGCUCAGCACAGGGAGGUAAAGGACAUUUUAUCUGCACUCAAGAUAAUGUGAUAUGGAGGAAAAAAGCACUGGACUGGGACCCAGAAGGACUGAGUCUUGUCUGGACUGACACCAACGAGCCAUGGGUUUGCUAGAGCAGAGGUGGCAGAGUGGAGUGGUAGUGAGUAGCAGGAGCGCUGCAGACAGACUAGCCACUGAGUGUCUGCUUCCACUACUUACUGGUUAUGUGUCUUAGACAAAUUACUGACCUUUGUGUUUUAUAUUGUCCUUAAGUGUAAAAUGGGAAUCAUAAAUGUACCUACUUCGUAGGACUGCUUCAAGUGUAAGAUGAGGUAAUUGACAUUAAAA